Taeniopygia guttata (zebra finch) is the source of this 4461-nucleotide non-coding RNA. NCBI's taxonomy places the organism in Eukaryota, Metazoa, Chordata, Aves, Passeriformes, Estrildidae. The record is from RefSeq and is a predicted model, not a curated record.
CACCUGGGGCUGCUCUGAGCCCUCAUCAUCCUCACAGCUCGCACCUGGGGCUACUCUGAGCCCUCCUCAUCCUCACAGCUCGCACCUGCCGCUGUUGCCGCCCUCCAAACAGCGUCUCUCCCUCUCCAGCACACACCCACUUCUCACAGACACAGAUCCAACAGAAAUCUGCUACGGGUGUUGGCUUUUCUUAAUCCAUCUGGUUACACGAUUAAAGCACAUGCGUGCAUUGAUGGUCAUUGAGAGAAAGCUUUCCCCUGGAGAAAAUAGUCCUGUUGGUAGCACACUUUGCUACACCUUCGGAAAAAGCAGAAUCGGCACCAACUCCUAAGACCCCUGCUGAGGAACCCGGCCCUCCCUGGGACACCCAAAGCAGCAGACCUCGGAAAAGGAGGGGAAAAGUCAAGCUUGGAGUGGAAAAAGAGGACAAAAGUACAGCAGCCUUUAAAAAUGCCUGCACGGAGCAAUAGUAGGAACCAGUCCCAUUUCUUCUUUCCUUGCUUUCUCUGUGAUGACAUAAAUAGGAAGUAAGAACACGUUAAACAAAAGGCAGAGCUAGGAUUUUACAGGUCUUCGUUUCGGCAGACAGCAGAGAACGGAGGCAAAAGGUGCCGGAGAGCCCUUUCUGUUUCCUUCAGCCCCUGCUGAAGUGGGUGUGUCCUGGAGAGGGAGAGACGCUGUUUGGAGGGCGGCAACAGCGGCAGGUGCGAGCUGUGAGGAUGAGGAGGGCUCAGAGUAGCCCCAGGUGCGAGCUGUGAGGAUGAUGAGGAGGGGGCGGCUCCUCCGGGGGCUGAUUUAAGGGGUUUUUCUCACAUCGCUUUUGCAUGGAGCUGCUGGAGGAGAGGAGUUUAUGGGGGGCUCCCGGGGCUGUCUCAUGGAAGGACGGUAAGUACUUCGGAAAGGGUUUGGGGGAUCAUUUGGAUACGUGGAGCUUUGCUCAAAGGAGGCGCCGAGGGACAAACCUUUGUGCCGAGAAGCAGCGGCCAAACAGGUGAGCCGGUGCGCCUUUGUAGCGGGGACUUUUCUCCUUUCCCUUUUGAAUUUCGUCCUCCUGAGGUUGAAAUGAGGGGGCUGCCCUGUUGUCCCUCCUUUUAAGGGGUUUGGAUUGAGGUAAAAUUCUGCCUUUUGCCAUCAUUUGAGGCAAGCCCCUUCUUUUCUGCUCUUCUAGGGGAUGCGAUGGAAGGGGAGCCUGGCGCGGCGGGGCUGCCGCGGGACUGCCGGAGCCGCGCCGGUGCGAGCCGUGCGGAGCCGAGGGGAGCUUUGGCCGGGCCGGCGGGCGGGGCAGGCGGCGCGGGCGCUGCGCCGGUGCCGGCCGGUGCCGCCGCUCCGUCCGCUCCGGGCGCGGGGCUCGGGCGCCGCCGGGGCCCCCCGGGCCCGGUGCCGGCCCCGCCGGGCCGGGGGGAGCGGGCGGGGGUCUCCCGGCGCGGCGCCGCCUGUGCCUGCCCGAGGAGCCGCUUUCCUGCCGGGAGCCGUGCUCCGCCCGGUGCCGGGAGCGCGGAUUUUCAUUUUCCAGCGUUCCUUGCUGUGUUGGUUUUGAGGAGUUUAUUGGAUCGUUUUCUUUUGUUCGUAGUUGGUGUAUGAGAAGGGUCGUGGUGUACUUGUUGGUUGUUAUGGUUCUUGGUUCAGGUGCUGAUGACAAGGGUUUUUUUGGAUUGAGUUUGUUGUUGGAUUUUUUUUUUUCUUUUGUGGGAUAUGUUGGAUUUUUUAUUUUUCUUUGUAUUAGAAAAAUAUAAUUGUAGUUAUCUUCUUAAAGGAUGUGUUUUGAAAGGUUUACAAUGGUUUUUAUGGGUUGUAGCAUGAAGUAGAGGGUUGGUUUUUAAUUAGGCUGUGGUGGCUUUUAUUAGUGUGAGUAUGUAGUGUUUGUUUUGGUGGGUUUGAGGUAGUGUCCUGUAGUUAAUUAGUAAUCUUUUUUGGUUUUUUUAAAAAUAUUGAUAAUUGCAUUCUUGUUAAUUCUCUUAUAGAGGUUUUAUUAAUUUGGUUUGUUUAAUUGUCUUGGAUGUUUUAUUGUUACCGGCAAUUUGGGUGUUAUUGUUUAUGGUUACCUUUCUCUUUUGGCGACGUGUUUAUUUCUAGGUGGUGUUUGUAUUUUGAUGGUUCGAGGCAUUAUGGCUUUAUGGAGUUAGGAAUAAUUUUUUUUGUUGUUAAUUUAAGUUUAUUUAUUCGGGUUUUUUUUUAGUUUGAUGUAUUUGUUGGUUGCUUUUUAUUUGUGUAUUUAUACGGUGGAUUUUUUAGGUAGUUUUUUAUUUGGGUACUUUUUAUUGUCUAGUGGUUUAGAUUUUUUAAAUAUCGUUUAUUACUUUGGUUUUUAAAGUUAACUUAGCAGAGUACUUGUUACUCUUUGAGUUAGUGUGGAGGUAUGGUUGUCAUUUUUAGUAGCUUUCAGGGUCUGUUGUAUGGUUUGAGGUUUAGUAAGUUGGUUGGACUUCUUUUUCUAGUGAGUUUUGUGAUUUGUUUUGUGGGUUUCUUUAGGGCUGUUUUUUAUUUUUGUUUCAUUUUUGUGAUGUGUCUCGCUAACAAGUGUUAGUGAAAAGAGUGUAGCGUGGGUUUGUUUUUGCUGGUAGCCGGUUCUAUGGUGGUGUAUUUUUAGUUUGAGUUGUUUGUUUUUGGUUUUCUGUUGUUAGAGAUCAAAGUUUUUAUUUUGGGCUUAAUUUGUAAUUAUUUUUAAGGUUUUAGGGUGAUUGAGAUUUUUGAUACGGAUGUCCUGUAUGAUAAGAGUUAAUUUAUUUGCUUUAUGUGGAAUUGAUGGCAGGGUAGAGGACAUUUUUGUAUAGAAUGUGUAUUUUAAUCAUAGUAUUAAAAUAAUACCAUGGUAAGAGGGGCUGUGUUUUAUUCUCUGUGUUCGAGGUGGUUUGGCAUUUUCUUAUAGGUUGGGCUUUUUUUUGUUGGCUCGUGGAGCCAUUCUGACUUUUUUUUUGAUGAAAUUGGUGGGAAUUUGAUGUUUCUUUUGUUAUUUUAUUUUUAGGAAUUGUAUCUUUGCAGUAGUCUUUUUGAUUUUGCUUUUUUUUUUUUUUGUGGUGUAGUAGUCUUUUAGAAGAAUUUGGCUGAUUUUUAAAAAUAUUUUUGUUAUACUUUUCAUCUAAUGUUGUUGGAUUAUUACAGAUAUUUUGGAGUUUGAUUUUUUUAGGUUUCAUUUGGAGGAAUUUAUGCUAGAUGGUAGGACUGUGUUUUUAUUUUUGGGGUAGUUGGUUGUAGGUGUAUUGUAUGUUUUUCAAAUGAAGGUAAAAUGAGGUUUGUAAUCAGUUGUUAGAGGAAUGGAGAAAAAUGUAUUGGUAAUGUUUACAGUGGUGUGUUAUUUUGUGGUUUUUGAUUUUAGUUGGUAUUGGAGUUUUAAUAAGUUUGGUACAGUAGUGUUUAAUGGUGGAGUUAUUCAAGGUAUGAUAGUUUAGAGGUAAUUCUUAUUUGUUUUAGAUUUGUGUGUAGGUUAGAGGAGGUUGUUGAAGGGCGAGUGUGUUUUGUAGAUGAAUUUUAGUGCUUCAGUUUAUAGAGCAUUUUUUGGAUGGGAGUUACAGUAUUUUGACUUGUUUGGCAUCACUGGUGAUGUAUUGUUCAGGUGGUGAGGAGUAUUUGUUGGGUUUUUUUAAAGAAGGUUUAUUGUCGAUAGUUUUAGAUAGUUGUGGUGGGUUGCUUAAUUGUUUGAUGUUUUUUAGCUUUUUAGUAGUUAUUUAAAAUAUGUUAGAGUUUUUUUUGGGUUUAUUGAAUUACUUGAUUUUGAGGAAGUUCCGAUUUAGAAUGUAUGGUUUUUUUGGCUUAAAAUAAAAAUGCUAUAUUUUUAGUGAGACUUAUUUUUCUUUUCUUUUCUUACUGCUAUAUUUUGUGAUAUUUGUCUUAGGUUAGAAUUAGGAAUAGCUUUAUUUUUAUAUGUUGAAAUGAGGGUGGUGUGUACUGCGUACUGGUGUUCAUAAAGGUUUAAUAUUUUUGUGGUUCUGAUGUGUUAGGUUAAUGAACUUAUAAAGUUUACUAGACUUUUUGUUUUUAUUUUGAUACAGGUAGGGUUUUCUUCAUUUUAAGGAUUUCUUCGGCACAGAUUGAGAGGCCUUAUUGAGGGGAAAGGACAGGGUGUCUCUGUUAAUCUAUUUGGCAAUUUGGAUAUUGGGUAAAUAAAGUUAAUGUUUUGGUAGAAUUUUUGGGUUUAGUUAAUUUAUUUAUUUAUGAAUUUGUGUGCCUACAGCUGUAGUGUCUCUGCUGACACUCUGAGUAUCCAUUCAUGUCUGUGUGCAUUAGGCAGUCCAGUCGUGUAACACCGAGACCCCCUCUGCAACCAGCCCGCAGACCCGCUCCUUCGACCUCGUGGGAAUUCGGGAAGCGGCACACGGCUCUGCGAGGGAGCCUGGAUCUCUGUCACUUGAAGGUGUCACCCAGGGAGCUUUCAGGAGCGGCUGAGGAGUUGCUGCAGAUCCUGCCAGGAGGGCGUGGGUGAAGCGUGCAGCCCGAGGAGCCCAGCGUUCUUAGGAGAAUGGCGAG